Molecule: ribosomal RNA, 524 nt
Filed under: uncultured bacterium
Lineage: Bacteria
Description: partial 16S ribosomal RNA
Rfam family: Bacterial small subunit ribosomal RNA
Source: RNAcentral
GACGAACGCUGGCGGCGUGCCUAAUACAUGCAAGUCGAGCGCAGGAAGCUGACGGAUUCCUUCGGAGGGAAGGCAGUGGAAUGAGCGGCGGACGGGUGAGUAACACGUAAGGAACCUGCCUCAAGGAUUGGGAUAACUCCGAGAAAUCGGAGCUAAUACCGGAUAGUUCAACGGACCGCAUGGUCCGCUGAUGAAAGGCGCGCCGGCGUCACCUUGAGAGGGCCUUGCGGUGCAUUAGCUAGUUGGUGGGGUAACGGCCCACCAAGGCGACGAUGCAUAGCCGACCUGAGAGGGUGAUCGGCCACACUGGGACUGAGACACGGCCCAGACUCCUACGGGAGGCAGCAGUAGGGAAUCUUCCACAAUGGACGAAAGUCUGAUGGAGCAACGCCGCGUGAGUGAUGAAGGUUUUCGGAUCGUAAAACUCUGUUGUAAGGGAAGAACACGUACGAGAGGGAAUGCUCGUACCUUGACGGUACCUUACGAGAAAGCCACGGCUAACUACGUGCCAGCAGCCGCCGUAA